This is a long non-coding RNA of Mus musculus (house mouse), 1100 nucleotides long. RefSeq annotates it as predicted gene, 26795. The transcript has 3 exons. The record is from RefSeq and is marked validated. NCBI's taxonomy places the organism in Eukaryota, Metazoa, Chordata, Mammalia, Rodentia, Muridae.
GCUAUGGCUGCCUGGACUAUAAGCCCUAGAAGUAAAAACCUAUGGAAAGCUACACCACUACACCGAGCGGCAACAAGAGCAAGCAAAAUCCACUUAAGGUUUUAGUAUCUGUGAUUACUUUGUGUGUUCUCUACCUCCAGCGCUCUGCAGCCUCGUUCUCCUCUCCCGGCCUAGCUUUUAGGAAGGGAAGGAUCCAGGAGAGCCAUCUAGUGAGAAGAGCAUUACCACUAAAACUGUAGUGCGUUGGAGCGUCAGAGAAAGAUCUUAAGGACUGUGUCCAGGCCAGUUUACUCUCUUUGUCCUCUGGGAAAAUUGCUCCAGCAGAGGACCUGACAGGAGAAUGCGGAGACCGUUGUUUGCACCACUUUACAGAUUUGUAUUUGUGUGACCAAAGGGGCAUCACCGGCCUCCUGGUUUCUGGGCAGAUAAAAAGUGGAAAACCCGGAAGGUUUUCACACUUCUGGCUUCCCGGAAACACGGGAGGAAAUCAAGGGCAGCACUCGCCCGAGCAUGGCUCUGCAUUAGACUGACGACCUUGGACUGAAACUGCCCUGUGUCCAAACAAGGGCGAAGACAUGAUCAGCCCUCUGGUUAUUUUCACCCAUGUGAAGAGGCACUUGGCAUCUUGGAUUCACACCAGCCCUGGCCAUGGGAAGAAGCCGUGUGUUGAUUGAAGCAGUCUGAGACCGGUGAUUUGGAGAAGUAGAAAAACAAACUAGGUGCCCUGACCAGACCCACCCGUAGCUCCAUAUGCUGUUUUCCUGCCACUCAGCGUCUGAUGGAUGAGAGAAGGUGGCUCCUGAGGAGAGGAAGGUGGGGGGGGGGGGGGGACGGGGACUGCAGGUGCUCCAAAUUAGGAAUAAUUCUGCAGAUUAGCCUAAUGAAGUCAAAAAGUUAAUUUGUAGCUGCCAGCUGUUGAGCAGUAAGUUACAAAGUGCCACAGCCCCUCUACAGCUCAGCGCAGGGAAUGCAAAAAGGCAAAGGGAGUAACUGAGAGGACUUGGAAGAAACACCUGCUAAGGCGUCAUCUGGGAGGAGCUCCGCAGUCGCCAGGUGGCCUCAUGGACAAAGAGAUCAUAGAAAUAAUGACUGUUGGUGAC